ACUUUCCCAUCCACCCCUGGUACACACUCAAGAUGAGUCCGUCUCGGGUGUGUUGAGUAGUGUCUCAAUAAAACCACCAAUCCUCAGGGAAGCGCGAAUCAGAACACAGCAGCCUAUCACCUCACCUCGUGUAGAACGGCUCGCAAGAGAAGGAUGAAAAACAGCAAACACACUGCGGAGGUGGAGAAAUGGGGGACGUAGCGGUGAUCGCCAGCUCCUCUGCCUCUUCCUCCCCUUUCCCCUUCAUUCCUGCUAUCUGUAGCAAAGCUGUUUGCCCCUGCUCCUCGCUGCCUUAUUAGGUCUCUGCCAGGGGAGCAGCAAAAGCCUGGGGAUGAUGCUUCGCUUCUUGGAGACACCUCUCCGACAACCAGCCCAGAAAAACUCAGCACCGUCCUGACGCCUCACAAGCAGGUCCUCCCGAUGUAAGAGGGGCUCAGCUCUGCACUACACCACCCACCUCCUCUCAGUGCCGCAGCUGUGCUCAGGAAGGCAGAUCCACUGUGAAGAGGUGAGAAGUAAAAUGGAAACACUGUUCUGUCACGAAGGUCUGGAGAAGCUCCACAGCUUGCCCGUACCAUGGCUCUCUCCAGCUAGAAGCCUGGUCGAGAGCCGGCACAUCUGCAGAGCCUGGCUGGCUCCCUCUGUGGAGUGGUGUUACAGAAUGACCUGAGAAUGAAGCAAGUUUUCAACACAGAUCGUGAAUCACAUCUGAUCUACAGCUCACCAAGAAGCCUCGCCAUUGCCUGCCGGGGGAAGAGCUAGCGCUUUCGUGCUGACCCGCGAAUUCUUGCCUCCCUGCUUCCAAAUGCUUCUGUGUUUCUUCCACUUCCUGCUGCAGUUUGUAUGUAAAAGCACAUU
Long non-coding RNA from Chinchilla lanigera (long-tailed chinchilla), 858 nucleotides. RefSeq lists it as uncharacterized. The record is from RefSeq and is a predicted model, not a curated record. Lineage: Eukaryota; Metazoa; Chordata; Mammalia; Rodentia; Chinchillidae. The transcript is spliced from 3 exons.